RNAcentral lists this ribosomal RNA (253 nucleotides) under uncultured bacterium. Its description in RNAcentral is "partial 16S ribosomal RNA". It matches the Rfam family "Bacterial small subunit ribosomal RNA", at positions 524 to 776 of the family's 1533-position model. The record is from RNAcentral.
UACGUAGGGUGCGAGCGUUGUCCGGAAUUAUUGGGCGUAAAGGGCUCGUAGGCGGUCUGUCACGUCAGGAGUGAAAACUCGGGGCUCAACCCCGAGCCUGCUUCUGAUACGGGCAGACUGGAGGUAUGCAGGGGAGAACGGAAUUCCUGGUGUAGCGGUGAAAUGCGUAGAGAUGUGGAGGAACACCAGUGGCGAAGGCGACUCUUUGGCCUGUAACUGACACUGAGGCGCGAAAGCGUGGGGAGCAAACAGG